GAGUGGCGAACGGGUGAGUAACACGUGGGUAACCUGCCCAUCAGAAGGGGAUAACACUUGGAAACAGGUGCUAAUACCGUAUAACAAUCGAAACCGCAUGGUUUUGAUUUGAAAGGCGCUUUCGGGUGUCGCUGAUGGAUGGACCCGCGGUGCAUUAGCUAGUUGGUGAGGUAACGGCUCACCAAGGCCACGAUGCAUAGCCGACCUGAGAGGGUGAUCGGCCACAUUGGGACUGAGACACGGCCCAAACUCCUACGGGAGGCAGCAGUAGGGAAUCUUCGGCAAUGGACGAAAGUCUGACCGAGCAACGCCGCGUGAGUGAAGAAGGUUUUCGGAUCGUAAAACUCUGUUGUUAGAGAAGAACAAGGAUGAGAGUAACUGUUCAUCCCUUGACGGUAUCUAACCAGAAAGCCACGGCUAACUACGUGCCAGCAGCCGCGGUAAUACGUAGGUGGCAAGCGUUGUCCGGAUUUAUUGGGCGUAAAGCGAGCGCAGGCGGUUUCUUAAGUCUGAUGUGAAAGCCCCCGGCUCAACCGGGGAGGGUCAUUGGAAACUGGGAGACUUGAGUGCAGAAGAGGAGAGUGGAAUUCCAUGUGUAGCGGUGAAAUGCGUAGAUAUAUGGAGGAACACCAGUGGCGAAGGCGGCUCUCUGGUCUGUAACUGACGCUGAGGCUCGAAAGCGUGGGGAGCAAACAGGAUUAGAUACCCUGGUAGUCCACGCCGUAAACGAUGAGUGCUAAGUGUUGGAGGGUUUCCGCCCUUCAGUGCUGCAGCUAACGCAUUAAGCACUCCGCCUGGGGAGUACGACCGCAAGGUUGAAACUCAAAGGAAUUGACGGGGGCCCGCACAAGCGGUGGAGCAUGUGGUUUAAUUCGAAGCAACGCGAAGAACCUUACCAGGUCUUGACAUCCUUUGACCACUCUAGAGAUAGAGCUUCCCCUUCGGGGGCAAAGUGACAGGUGGUGCAUGGUUGUCGUCAGCUCGUGUCGUGAGAUGUUGGGUUAAGUCCCGCAACGAGCGCAACCCUUAUUGUUAGUUGCCAUCAUUUAGUUGGGCACUCUAGCAAGACUGCCGGUGACAAACCGGAGGAAGGUGGGGAUGACGUCAAAUCAUCAUGCCCCUUAUGACCUGGGCUACACACGUGCUACAAUGGGAAGUACAACGAGU
Molecule: ribosomal RNA, 1167 nt
Filed under: Enterococcus faecium
Lineage: Bacteria; Bacillati; Bacillota; Bacilli; Lactobacillales; Enterococcaceae
Description: bacterial SSU rRNA
Rfam family: Bacterial small subunit ribosomal RNA
Source: RNAcentral